AGUGAACGCUGGCGGUAGGCCUAACACAUGCAAGUCGAACGGCGGCACAGUAAGAGCUUGCUCUUACGGGUGGCGAGUGGCGGACGGGUGAGGAAUACAUCGGAAUCUACUUUUUCGUGGGGGAUAACGUAGGGAAACUUACGCUAAUACCGCAUACGACCUACGGGUGAAAGCAGGGGAUCUUCGGACCUUGCGCGAUUGAAUGAGCCGAUGUCGGAUUAGCUAGUUGGCGGGGUAAAGGCCCACCAAGGCGACGAUCCGUAGCUGGUCUGAGAGGAUGAUCAGCCACACUGGAACUGAGACACGGUCCAGACUCCUACGGGAGGCAGCAGUGGGGAAUAUUGGACAAUGGGCGCAAGCCUGAUCCAGCCAUACCGCGUGGGUGAAGAAGGCCUUCGGGUUGUAAAGCCCUUUUGUUGGGAAAGAAAAGCAGCAGGUUAAUACCCCGCUGUUCUGACGGUACCCAAAGAAUAAGCACCGGCUAACCUCGUG
This 492-nucleotide ribosomal RNA is filed under the name uncultured bacterium. RNAcentral's name for it is "partial 16S ribosomal RNA". It matches the Rfam family "Bacterial small subunit ribosomal RNA", at positions 29 to 507 of the family's 1533-position model. The record is from RNAcentral.